AACGAACGCUGGCGGCAUGCCUAACACAUGCAAGUCGAACGAGACCUUCGGGUCGAGUGGCGCACGGGUGCGUAACGCGUGGGAACCUGCCCUUAGGUUGGGAAUAACUCCCCGAAAGGGGUGCUAAUACCGGAUAAUGUCUUCGGACCAAAGAUUUAUCGCCUUUGGAUGGGCCCGCGUUGGAUUAGCUAGUUGGUAGGGUAAAAGCCUACCAAGGCGACGAUCCAUAGCUGGUCUGAGAGGAUGAUCAGCCACACUGGGACUGAGACACGGCCCAGACUCCUACGGGAGGCAGCAGUGGGGAAUAUUGGACAAUGGGCGAAAGCCUGAUCCAGCAAUGCCGCGUGAGUGAUGAAGGCCUUAGGGUUGUAAAGCUCUUUUACCCGGGAUGAUAAUGACAGUACCGGGAGAAUAAGCUCCGGCUAACUCCGUG
Molecule: ribosomal RNA, 433 nt
Filed under: uncultured bacterium
Lineage: Bacteria
Description: partial 16S ribosomal RNA
Rfam family: Bacterial small subunit ribosomal RNA
Source: RNAcentral